GCAUCAUUGGUGUAGUGGUUAGCAUGGAGUCUUCCCAGGCAGGGAAAUUAAACUCUCCCAAUCCGUUAGGCUUCGACAUGGGUUCGAAUCCCGUAUGAUGCA
Fomitiporia mediterranea MF3/22 is the source of this 102-nucleotide transfer RNA. It matches the Rfam family "tRNA". Rfam says of the family: Transfer RNA (tRNA) molecules are approximately 80 nucleotides in length. Their secondary structure includes four short double-helical elements and three loops (D, anti-codon, and T loops). NCBI's taxonomy places the organism in Eukaryota, Fungi, Basidiomycota, Agaricomycetes, Hymenochaetales, Hymenochaetaceae. The record is from Rfam.